Molecule: ribosomal RNA, 159 nt
Filed under: uncultured bacterium
Lineage: Bacteria
Description: partial 16S ribosomal RNA
Rfam family: Bacterial small subunit ribosomal RNA
Source: RNAcentral
CCUACGGGAGGCAGCAGUGGGGAAUAUUGCACAACGGCCGCAAGCCUGAUGCAGCCAUGCCGCAAGCCGAAGAAGGCCUUCGGGUUGUAAAGCACUUCAGCGAGGAGGAAGGGCUGAACUCAAUCGAGCAGCCAUGACGCACCGCAGAAGAGCCCGCCC